CACUACAGGAACUGCAAUUGGAAAGCA
This 27-nucleotide non-coding RNA is filed under the name Bombyx mori (domestic silkworm). Lineage: Eukaryota; Metazoa; Arthropoda; Insecta; Lepidoptera; Bombycidae. The record is from RNAcentral.